Long non-coding RNA from Ictalurus punctatus (channel catfish), 2348 nucleotides. Lineage: Eukaryota; Metazoa; Chordata; Actinopteri; Siluriformes; Ictaluridae. The record is from Ensembl.
GUGAAAUGGAGCUCGUUGUGAUCAGAGUCUGAUCUGCAGCUGUCCUUUCAACUUCAGAAUUCUGCAAUACGGGAGAUUUACGAGUCACACGAGAUCAGAAGAUGAAAAGAUUUUGUUCUGAAACAACACGAACGCACAAAAGCUUUCUGAAGUUUGUUUAAGUUCUCAGAAGCAACUCACAAAGUAACACAUCAGGGAAGUCCCGAAGUAAACAAGUCACAAGAUUUACAGAGUAAACAAGUCACAAAGAUUUACAGAGUAAACAAGUCACAAAGAUUUACAGAGUAAACAAGUCACAGAGUAAACAAGUCACAGAGUUUUACAGAGGAGGAAGAUUGCAAAGUAAGUAAACAGUCACGCAAGUCACGAAGUCACACAUCAGGGAAGUCACAAAGUAAACAGGUCAAAAUUAACCGAGUAAACAAGUCACAAAUAAGUUUGCAGCAAAUCAUAAAGUAAACAAUUAGUGGAGUUUCUAAGUAAUGAGGCAUCCAGGCAAGUCACAAAGUAAACGUGUACAAAGUCAAAGAGUCUCUCUCAGAUUCAAAGAGUCAAAGAGUCUCAGAUUCAAAGAGUCAAAGAGUCUCAGAUUCAAAGAGUCAAAGAGUCUCAGAUUCAAAGAGUCUCAGAGUCAAAGAGUCACAGAGUCACAGAGUCACAGAUUCAAAGAGUCUCAGAUUCAAAGAGUCUCGGAUUCAAAGAGUCUCGGAUUCAAAGAGUCUCGGAGUCAAAGAGUCACAGAGUCAAAGAGUCUCAGAUCUCAAGAGUCUCAGAUUCAAAGAGUCAAAGAUUCAAGGAGUCUCAGAGUCAAAGAUUCAAAGAGUCAAAUGUUAGAGUCAAAGAGUCUCAGAGUCACAGGUUACAGAGUAAGAAAGCAGACAGGUAAGUCAUAAAAUAAUGGAGUAGACUGUCCAGUUACAAAGUUCACACACACACACACACACACACACACACACACACACACACGAGGCAAGUAACUACAGAGGAAAGUCACGAUGUCACCUGCCAGUCAGGUCUCAGUAACCGUGGCGACGGUCACUAGCGACCACAUGCAGGAGAAUCCGCCGGUUGAACUUCUCCUUGUUAUAAUGUCUGUUUCUGUAGAAGUAAUGAAUCACUGCCGAAUCACACACUGAACUUCACUCGCACAAUAAAAACCUGUCGCAAUUCCGUGUGAACGCGUCACCUUUAUCAGCGUGUGUUAAACACGGAGCCGGCACUCCUCACCUGAAGGAGCAGCGUGUUGGACCGGAGCCAGCGGCGGACAGGCGAGGGUUAACACGAAUCCGAGCCGCUUCACUUUAAAACACCUGAAACUGUGUGUCAACUUCACCUGCGCACGCAGUCACAAAGGUUUACGGUCAUCCUUCACCGCCACGCUCUGCGAUUCCGUCAGGACUUGACAAUCCGAUCCGGUCCGAUCCACAAUCCCACGCCACACCCUGUUUUCUGACUCAUGAGCAGAUGUUUCUCCUGCACCAGUCUACAACUUGCAUUACUGAGGCGUGUGGAAUCAACCCCAGACUUCAUUGAGUUUGCUGUCGCUAGGAUUCGUUCUGUUCGUCUCUCCGGUGUUCUGCCCUUUCCCCUUCUGUUCUCCAUUUCACUGUCUGACUACGCUUACACGAUCAGCAAUCACGGACCUUAUUCGGAAGAAGACGUAUUACAUUCCGAUUACGGUGUUUACAUGAGUCACUUUUAGAAAACUCCUCUCACGUUCCUGUUUUACGUGUUACAGAACAUAGACGGAUUAACGUCGCACGUCAUCACGUCCCCGCGCCGUCCGACGUCCCUCCAGAGUUUCACGUAUCGACAUACAGUUGGUCUUCGUUACGGAACCGUAUAGUUUUAUUUUUGUUACGAAAGCUUCGAGUGCGGUUAAUUAUCUGUCGUGCUGUACGUGCUAACAGACGACCGCUUGAAGCCGUGGGCCGCGUCCCAAACCGCGUACUCACCGUCUACAGAGUAGCCGAGAUACAUGUAUCAUAUAGCAUAUAAGCACGCGGUUUGGGACGCGGCCGCGCUCUCUCGUUUGCCGCUAAACGGUCGAGCGCUGCCGUGUGUGAUCGUGUCCUGUCGCACGAUGCGGUGAGAACUCUCACACGACUGAAACAGGAAUACUCCACACGUCUUAAUUCCACGUGUGUUUACUUCGAGUGUGACUUCAAUCGGAUUAAGGUCGUCACUAAUCUGUGUUUACACGCGAGUUUCUUAAUCAGAGUCUCGUCUUAAUCGGGUUCACGGCGCUGAUUACUGGGAAUGAAUUCAGGAAGCACAGAAACAAGCAACAUACACGAUAUUAAAUGAUCUGAAAAAGGAAAUAAAUACCCGAGCCAAGUAAAUAAAAA